GUCGAACGGUAACAGGGAGCUUGCUCCGCUGACGAGUGGCGAACGGGUGAGUAAUGUAUCGGAACGUACCAUUGAGUGGGGGAUAACGUAGCGAAAGUUACGCUAAUACCGCAUAUUCUCUCCGGAGGAAAGCAGGGGACCGCAAGGCCUUGCGCUCUUUGAGCGGCCGAUAUCAGAUUAGCUAGUUGGUGGGGUAAAAGCUCACCAAGGCGACGAUCUGUAGCGGGUCUGAGAGGAUGAUCCGCCACACUGGAACUGAGACACGGUCCAGACUCCUACGGGAGGCAGCAGUGGGGAAUUUUGGACAAUGGGGGCAACCCUGAUCCAGCCAUGCCGCGUGAGUGAAGAAGGCCUUCGGGUUGUAAAGCUCUUUCGGCCGGGAAGAAAUCGUAUCAGCUAAUACCUGGUGCGGAUGACGGUACCGGCAUAAGAAGCACCGGCUAACUACGUGCCAGCAGCCGCGGUAAUACGUAGGGUGCGAGCGUUAAUCGGAAUUACUGGGCGUAAAGCGUGCGCAGGCGGUUUUGUAAGACAGGCGUGAAAUCCCCGGGCUCAACCUGGGAACUGCGUUUGUGACUGCAAGGCUAGAGUACGGCAGAGGGGGGUGGAAUUCCACGUGUAGCAGUGAAAUGCGUAGAGAUGUGGAGGAACACCAAUGGCGAAGGCAGCCCCCUGGGUCGAUACUGACGCUCAUGCACGAAAGCGUGGGUAGCAAACAGGAUUAGAUACCCUGGUAGUCCACGCCCUAAACGAUGUCAACUAGGUGUUGGGAGGGUAAAACCUUUUAGUACCGGAGCUAACGCGUGAAGU
Molecule: ribosomal RNA, 810 nt
Filed under: uncultured bacterium
Lineage: Bacteria
Description: bacterial SSU rRNA
Rfam family: Bacterial small subunit ribosomal RNA
Source: RNAcentral